AUAUGGAACACGUAGCAACGCAUUACUUUGUCAGUGGUGGUAUCGUUUUAUAAAAAAAUAAAUUUUCAUUUUUAUUAAAAAUAUAUUAUAUACUAUUUAUAAUAGUAAUGUGAAAAAUUAGUAUGAGUGUGAAUAUAGCAGAUAUGAGACAAUUUAUAAAUUUUAAAUAAAUAAAUGAAAAUAAUGAAAUUGAAAAAAAUGCGUGUACUUAUUCUUCAAUUGUCUAAAUACACAUUUUUUAAUUUUUACUCUAAUUACAUUUUAUUCAUUUGAAUCGUUUAUUUGAGAAACCCCAAAAGUCAUGUUUUUUACGAAAUUGGGUUUUUUACAUUUUUGGGUUCUUUGGAUGUCCCUCCAUAGAAAUCAAUCAAAAUAUGCAUCAAAUCAGCGUUUAAAAAAAAUUAACGGGGUGACAGCAAUUCAUUUAAUUGAGAAACCCCAUAAGUCAAUGACUGAAAUAAACAUAUGCAGUUUUAGGUUCACAGAAAUAAAAAUUUUUUUUUUUAUUUAAAAUGACUAAUUAAAAUGUUUAAAUUUAUUAUAAUUUAUUUAAUUUCCGAGUUUCAGAGUUCAAAUACAUAUUUAAUACUUCAUUUUAUCAGUGUAAUAAAUGUUUUAAGUAAAAAAAUUAAAAAAAACAAUGAUUAUAUAUCUUUUUUUCCGUUUGGUUGAGAAACCCCAUAUAAAUCAAUCAACUCUAAAUAAUUUUUUUAAGUAGUUUCAGUCAAAAAAUUAAAUUUUUCCUGUUAGAAUUUUUUUCAGAGACGCUAACAUUAUAGUAUUCAAUUAUUUAUUUUUUAUUUUAAUGUCAAGUUUUCCCAUAAAAAUGUUUUUUGUGUUUCCUGAAAAAUUUUGUAUUCUUGACUUAUGGGGAUUCUCAAAUAAACGAUUCAAUUUAUUCAAAAGUUUAAAAAAUUUCCGAUUGUCUGUUACAUUCACACUCACAAAUUAUAUAAUUUGCUACUCAAGUCGGGCCACAGCCGCAAAAAUUAAGUGAUUUCAGAGAAUAUUCUACUCUAAGUUUGAAGCAAUGGAUAGAACAGGAUGAAUAUGAUCCAGGCUUUAAUGUCAAGGAAUUUUUAGAGCAUGCUGCACCAAGUAAAAUCCCUGACGUUGCUCAAUUAGAUUGUAAAACUACGGAAGAAGCAUUAACAGGACUUGAAACAAUUGAAGGGUGGUUAAAAACCAAAGAAUUCCCAAGUGAUGAAGACAAAAAAUACGUUCAACUUGCUGUAAACUUUUUGAAACAAAAAAUAGUUUCAAAAACCAUGGACACUGCUCGAAAAUCAAAUAGUGAUGAUGACUUACCAUCUAAAUUGACCAAUGCAUUAUACACAUGUUUGUAAUAUACAAUCAUUUUUAAGUUAAUUUUGUUUAUUAGACUUUAGCAUAACCCAUCCUUCCGUUACUUAAGUUUUAAAUUAAUAGCAGAAUUAAUUUUAUCCAUAAAACAAAUAGAUAUUUAAAAUUUUUAAUGUUAUUUAAUACAUGAAAUCAUUAUUUUUUUCUAAUAACAAAACGAUUGUUAGAAAUUUAUUUAUUUAAGAAAAUAUUUAUUUGACUCAUUAUUGCAAGUUGUAAAAUUUAAUAAUAAUUAUUUAUAUGGAUUUCGAGAAGUGAAAAAUUAAAUGUUACUUAUAAAUUUUUUGCCUGCGUUUACAAACACUAACGAUCCCUCACACCGAUAUACCCUUCCUAGCUCCAGGUCUAUCGAGACUAAUACUUUUAUUGCCCCUUAAACGAUUACGACGGUCCCAAAUCGUCGUAACUUACUAAGGUAGUACUGUAGUGAUAUUGUUUGAUGAGUUCAGAGCUAUAAAAUUUUAGAAUACUUUCAUUCAGUUCAGAAAAUCCACUAAAAAUACAUAUUUUCUGUGACAUGACACUCCAAUAGACAUGUGUAUUUAAUAAUAUUUGCAUAUACUUUUCUGGUUAAAUAUGAAAAAAAUUAAAUUUGUAAAACUAUAAAUUAUUAUUUAUUUUUACUUAUUAUUUAUUACUUUUUUUUUAUUUUUUCUCUGCAAUGAAACUCUUAAGGUUUUAGUCAUUAUUUAUAAAUUAUAUCUGUACUUGAAAUAUAUUGUUAUAAAUGAUGUAUAUAGCCGAUCAAAUAAAAUAAAAAUAGGCGUAAGUGAUAAUUUUAUAAUUUUUAAAUUGUGAACUAAUUAUUCAGCUUAAAAAUUUUUUAUAAAAUUUGAUAAAAAAUAACUAAAAUUUUCGAGUACAAGUUCUUUUGAAAUUUUCGAUAAAAUUUGUUAAAAAAUAGUUGAAUAACUAUAAAUAUACAGAAAAGUAACAGUAGUAAAUGAUAUUUGAAUAGAAUUGAUAAAUUAAAAUAAGACAGUUUUAGUAAUCACAUGAUUUCGGUAUAAAGGCACGUCAUCUCUCGCCUUCUAUAGUACACAUACACACACACAAAUGAAAAACAUGUGUUUGAGGACGUGUGUAUUAUACGUGAACACGCUGUCACUCAGUAUAUUGAGACAAACUGUCUGAAAUCUGAUGAUUUGUGUUUUGGUCUUAUAUUUAAUAAUACAAAAAACUAAUAGACUAAUAUAAUUAUUUUAAAAUUAGAAUUAAGGGUUUGGGAAAAUACUUAAAAAAUACGAUAAAGUUAAAACCAUUUAAACACAAUAUUUUAAUGUAAUUUUUUUUUUUUAGACAUGAAACAGAACGAUACAAAAGAAUGUAUAAUUUGUGAAUUUUUUUGUUUAAAUAAAUGCUCUAAAUG
This is an RNA transcript of Microplitis mediator, 2731 nucleotides long. RefSeq lists it as uncharacterized. The transcript is spliced from 2 exons. NCBI's taxonomy places the organism in Eukaryota, Metazoa, Arthropoda, Insecta, Hymenoptera, Braconidae. The record is from RefSeq and is a predicted model, not a curated record.